GAUGAACGCUGGCGGCGUGCCUAAUACAUGCAAGUCGAGCGAACAGAUGAGGAGCUUGCUCCUCUGACGUUAGCGGCGGACGGGUGAGUAACACGUGGAUAACCUACCUCUUAGACUGGGAUAACUUCGGGAAACCGGAGCUAAUACCGGAUAAUAUAUUGAACCGCAUGGUUCAAUAGUGAAAGACGGUUUUGCUGUCACUUAUAGAUGGAUCCGCGCCGCAUUAGCUAGUUGGUAAGGUAACGGCUUACCAAGGCAACGAUGCGUAGCCGACCUGAGAGGGUGAUCGGCCACACUGGAACUGAGACACGGUCCAGACUCCUACGGGAGGCAGCAGUAGGGAAUCUUCCGCAAUGGGCGAAAGCCUGACGGAGCAACGCCGCGUGAGUGAUGAAGGUCUUCGGAUCGUAAAACUCUGUUAUUAGGGAAGAACAAAUGUGGAAGUAACUAUGCACGUCUUGACGGUACCUAAUCAGAAAGCCACGGCUAACUACGUG
Molecule: ribosomal RNA, 497 nt
Filed under: uncultured bacterium
Lineage: Bacteria
Description: partial 16S ribosomal RNA
Rfam family: Bacterial small subunit ribosomal RNA
Source: RNAcentral